UACGUAGGGCGCAAGCGUUGUCCGGAAUUAUUGGGCGUAAAGAGCUCGUAGGUGGCUUGUCGCGUCGGGUGUGAAAGCUUGGGGCUUAACUCCAGGUCUGCAUUCGAUACGGGCUGGCUAGAGGUAGGUAGGGGAGAACGGAAUUCCUGGUGUAGCGGUGAAAUGCGCAGAUAUCAGGAGGAACACCGGUGGCGAAGGCGCUCAUCUGGCCCAAUACUGACGCUGAGGCGCGAAAGCUAGGGGAGCAAACGGG
This 253-nucleotide ribosomal RNA is filed under the name uncultured bacterium. RNAcentral's name for it is "partial 16S ribosomal RNA". It matches the Rfam family "Bacterial small subunit ribosomal RNA", at positions 524 to 776 of the family's 1533-position model. The record is from RNAcentral.